Molecule: long non-coding RNA, 4042 nt
Organism: Bicyclus anynana (squinting bush brown)
Lineage: Eukaryota; Metazoa; Arthropoda; Insecta; Lepidoptera; Nymphalidae
Exons: 4
Source: RefSeq, a predicted model, not a curated record
CCUUCGUAAAUGUUCCUUUCACGUUCAGUUAGUCAUUCCGCGAUUUUAACCAUGCAUGUCAGUGACUUAACGCUUCAAUUUAACUGUAUUUUCGUAAACUAACAAUAAAUUAAACCGAUUUCACUAUUAUUUUAAUGUAUAGUUUGGUGAUUACGAUGUACGAUGUUGCAGUUGCCGAUAAAGUGUCAAGGUUUUUUGGCGGGAUAUAAAUAAAUUCGGAACAAUCAUGGGCGACGGUUUUGUUUUUUUUUAUUUCCAGUGCCUUUUUCUCGGCGCUGGUGCGUGGAUUUUUCGAUAAAAAUUGAAAGAAGAUGGCCUACUUAACUGGCAUUUUGACUGACGUACGCACGUGUUCGCGCGACGCGAGGCGAGAUCGAGUUCACGUCGAGAUGAGAUCCGAUCGACAUUGGAGCACAUGGUUGGGGAGACGUUAUGAAAAGAUUUGAUGCUCCUAAGGAAAGGAAAGGAUGAAGUCAGCCGUUCAUCGAGGGGUCCGAGACAUAAACAGAUAAACUUACUAUCAUUUAUUAUUAUAUAUUUUAUUAAUAGUAGUUUAAUUUACGGACCAAAAAUAUGGUCCACCUGAAUCUAAAAUAAUCGCUACGACAAGUUUCGUGAAGGCAAAAAGACAUUGUCGACCAAUAGCGGCGGCGAAAAUACCGUCCUAUUGUGAUAUUUUGGAUUUCACCGCGAUUUUUCGACAAUGCCUUGUCUUCAUAAGAUAAUUCGUUGAUUAAACAAACUUACACCUACUGAUGCGAGCCCUAGAACACUUUGCUCGAAAUACUCAUGGUUGUCAACUGUCAACCAGGCGUAGGUGUUAAGCCCUAAUGUGUUAAUGCAUUCUCAUACAUAAAAAAUAAUAUUAUUGUAUUGCCAAGAAACAAGCUUAUUUAAAUUUUAUAUGUUUUUUUUUACAAGCUAGCCCUUGACUACAAUCACCUGAUGGUAAGUGAUGAUGCAAUCUAAGAUGGAAGCGGGCUUACUAGUGAAAAGGCGGAUGAAAAUCCACACCCCUUUAGGUUUCUACACGACAUCGCUAAAUCGCUUUGCGGUACGUCUUUGCCGGUAGGGUGGUCACUAGCCACGGUCUAAGCCUCUCACCAGCCAGACCUGGGCCAAUUAAGAAAACCUUAAUCGGCCCUGCCGGCAAUCGAACCCAGGACCUCCGUAUUGUAAAUCCACUGCGCAUACCACUACGCCACGUAGGCCGUCAAAAAUAUAAUUUAAAUACACUAAACUUUAAAAAUAUAACGACUAGACCAGCUGGCCUAUUCACUAUUUUGGUCUUUAUUAUCAACCUAUAAAAAUAAACAUCAAAUCAAUUGAGAAAUGUCAUUUACCUACUGUAUGAUAACCACCAGUGAGCACCGGAUGACAUUUGUUACAUAGAAUUUCUUAUAUGUCAACUAGCAUACGUCAAAGAUAGUGAAUUAGCUUGCAGGGUUAGUAACAGAUUCGUUGGUUUUGUAAUAAUAAAUAAUAAAAAAAAAACUAAAAAAAAAAUAGGCAAUAAGUGUGAACACUGUUAUUUAAAGUUUUAGGUUUUUCAUUAGCAGACGCACCCGCGGUUGCACCCGUUUAUUUCCCAUUCCCGUGGAAAUGCGGGGUUAAAAUAUAGCCCAAGUAUCUCGCUGACAAUGUAGCUUUCCAUUGGUGAAGGAAUUUUGAAAUCGGUCCAACGGUUUCGGAGCUUAUUCGAACGAACGAACGAACUAGAAAUCGAAUAUUUCCUAGUUAUAAUCACACUGUUUCCCAUUACAGAUAUGCUGCCUCACGAUGAAUGGUACAAGAAGACUUCUAGAAGAACAUUAAUUAUGAGUUGUUUACUCUAGAGCAAGCAUGUCAGUUGCUUACAGAGUAAUCCACUCGUAUGUUUUACCACACAUAUGAAAAACCUGAACACCUGCGUUUCAAUGUGACGUACGUUUAGUACUGUCACUUGUCACUAGAUGGCGCUAUAGCAUGUUUGUGUACAAGGAGGUGAUAAAUUUUAAUAUUUUUUAUUUCAAAAUCAAAAUUAUAUUUAUUUCAAGUAGGCUCAGUUUAUAAGCACUUUUGAUACGUCAUUUGACUAUUUGUAAAGAUUCUACCACCGGUUCUGCCGAGAAGAAACCGGCAAGAAACUCGACAGUUGCUCUUUUUAAAAAAUCAUACGGGAUUAUAAUCAACAAUUGAAUUUUAAAUCUAUAUUGGUAAAUCAAACAAACACACGGUAAUUUGAAGUUUUAAUUUUUUUGUAGCACAUAUAUUAAUAUAUUUGUAUUUUAUGUAACUAUUAUCAAAAAACGAAUAUUUUUACAUCCGGCUCGUGAGACAAAAGCUUAGAAGCUUAACUAAAAGUGUGUAAAAUCAACUUUUAUCACCUUCUUUAUUUCAAAUAAAAACGAAGAACAGAAGAGAAGAGAAGAUAAAUGUACAGUAUCGAGCCCUUGUCAUUCUUCUUGCCCGGUGUAUUACGCUACUGGACGGAGAACUGAUAAGGGCUUGACCUGUGUCAUAUCAUCUGAAGAACAAAGAAGAAGAUUUCUAACAAUUGUUUUAACUUUUAUUUUUAUUGCUAAACAAUUUUAUAAUGUAUGUUUGUCUAUUUUGUAAUAUAUAAUAUAAUGUGUUUGUAUUUUGUGAAGUAUUUGUAUCUAUGUAUAUUACAGCCUUUCUUGAUGAGUACUGUUUACCAAUAAACAAAUUAAAAAUGAGGGUAUAAAAGACUAAUCAUUACACACCUAAUAAUAAUUAACCUGUUCUUAAAUUAAUGAAUAUAAAUUUGAUUAAUAAGCUUAGAACAAUUAGAUAUGGUUAAUAAUAUAUUUUUAUAACUUUUUAUGAACAAACCUUACAUAAUUUAAAAUAAAUAAAUUUACUACUCCUCCAGUAUGGCUUUAGUGUGUAGUAAGUCUUAAGAGCGCUUUGAAAUAUCAUUUACCCAAAUAUCAGGCUCCUAACUUUUCCAGAAUCUGAGAUCCAGGACCAUUUGUAACCACCAAAUUACAUAUUGCACACUCUUAAAUCUUAAAUAUCAUGAAUGUCUACCUAUAUAAAAUAUCGUUGGGUAGAAAACAAUGCGCACAAGACAUAUGACAACGUGUAAACAAGCAAAAUGUAUGAAUGUGGUGAAGUUGAAUUUUAUAACAAAUGUAAUUUAUAAACUUUAUUUUUAUGAACGAAAUGUUUAUAGAUACUAUACUAAUUAGUUUGUUUAGUUGUUGUACCUACUAUGUUUCUUCUUUUAGAUGUUUGUAUGGUUUUUGUAAUCUAUGGUUAUUUAGAUUAGUCUAUACUAAUAUUAUAAAGAGGUAAAGUUUGUAAGUUUGUCACAUUUUUUAAAUGGGGUAAUCUUCGGAACUACUGGUCCGAUUUUAAAAAUUCUUUCACCAGUAGAAUGCUACAUUAUCGAGGAGUGCUAUAGGCUAUAUUAUAUUUUGGUAUCAUAUAUAUUAGCCGAGUUAUCAUAGUUUUUGUCAUACAGGUCGGACUGAAAAUCCUCUUAAAUAGACUUAUUCGCUUGCGCUGCCUUAACUAUUGAGUAAAAUUGAAAAUAAUGUAUAGAGACUUUAUGUAUCUUUAAAGUUCUACAAAAAAGUCCGCGACACCAUAUAUCUAUCUUCUAUAUAUUAGCAGAUAUAGUACCUUUUGUGUUUUAAAAAUUAUUAAUUUUAUAUACUUAGGUUUACGUCAUUAUUUAUACAACUAAACUUUAAUCCUUAUUAAAAUAAAUUAUUUAAUAAUCACAAGGAUAUUAUGGAGAUAAGAGUUGCCCUUUACAGUAUGUUAAUUACUUAAAUAGUUUCGGAGAUAAUACAAAAUUUCUAAAAGACGCAGAAAUUCCGCUACAUGACGCCCGGCGCUUUCAUUUACGUAGUUCCCGUCCCGUUGUGAAUAUGGGGAUCAAACAUAGCCUAUGACAUUCGCAAAUAACGUAGCUUUCUAUUGGUAAAACAAUUUUCCAAAUCGGUCCAGUAGAUCCAGAGAUAGGGAAGUGGUAGGGUAGGGGUAGGAUAGGCGUGAGAUAGGGGUACGGGUGGGAUAGGGGUAGGAAAGG